UACUCAAAAACAUUCUGCAAUUACAAUAAAGCUUUACAAAAUAAAGGCUAUUUUAGUAAGAUGGAAAAAGUAAUGCCUUAAAACAUGAAAUAACGCCUUACUUUAAAGAACUGUUGUCUAUUUUCAUGGUACGAUCGAUAGUUAUGUAUUAGUAAUUGUCAUUUUUUCGAGCCACGAUUUAAUCACACGUCAAUUACAUUUCAUGUCAUAGUUUGAUCUUUUCGCCCUUUGUCGAAUGAUUGUUGUUUUGGUCUGCUUGUUUUAUGCAUCAGUUCAGCAGUAUAACCGCGUGUGCUACGUCAAACGAGUUCAUCUUCAUGUGUCCGCCAUCACACCGACAGCAUGGCAUAUUUGCUGUCCAUUUUACUACUGACAGUACUGGCCUCGUUUUCCCAUUUCAAGCUACCGUGCAGUGCCGUUAAUAUAAAGUUGAGCGCCGUCGGCACUAAGAUAGAGACGAGAUGUUACGGUAAACAUCUCAACGCAUCGUGCACGUUGUACCAGAAGCAUUCCACCGUCAAUCAAUCGGUCGAUUGUGAUAUUGAAGUGAUGCGUGAAAUCAAAGACUUGAAGCUUACAGUGAACUACAACGUCGUUGCUCUGAAUGGGCUCGCGCAAACCUCUCUGCUAAAGCGCACGCUGGAUCUGUGCUUCUUCCUGCGCAAUCCGCGAUCCGAUCGGUUGAUUAGCAGCAUCUACACUUACAUUAAGGAGCGCAGCAAUCUGCCACCAAGAUGCCCUCUGCCAGUGGCGCACUAUACUAUACGCAGCUUAAGACUCCGCGACAUCCCAAUACCGGUCUUUCUACCCGAGUCGGACUUUGUUCUGGAGGAAAUCUUUCGCUCGGAGGUAAAGCAUGAGACGCUGUUCGAGUUUCGAUUCCAUGGUAAGCUGGUACGGUAUAUAGAUACUGAGUGACAGUAACUUUUCUGCCGAAUUGCUAGUUGACCUUAUAUAAUUGCUUCAACCAAGAUAAAUAAUAUAAACAACUGAUGAAAUUAUUGCCUGAUUUUUUACACAACAUUGGGGUGGAAACACUUAAACUGUUCUUCUUUCAUGCGUAUUUUCAAUAAUGACAACAAAGUGAUAGAUAAUGUUUCAAUCAACUGUACGAUCUGCGAACAAAUUGGUCAUCCUUAUCCAGUAAUUACUUUGCCAUCUUUUGACCAGUUGAAUGUUGUAUAUAUUGUUUCACGCUACAAUGUACACUUCAUUGAUUUCGAGUCCGAUCACUGGAUCUGGACUGGAAGGUCCGCGGCCCACUACCCAAGGAUAGUAUGGCAAACUUACUGCCUGUGUCGCUGUUACUAGCGCUUCUCUUUUGCUCACAGCUUCACCCCCUGUACGCUUUCGUAAAGCUUGUAGCCGUCGGAACGAAGGUCGAAUUCAGGAGCAAGGUGAAACACAUCAACGCUUCCCACCAGUUUUGUCGCCGUGAUUCCCUGACGGAACAAUCGCUCGACAUGAAACUGGACAUUACAAGUCCGUUGCGUGAAAUGAAGCUUUAUUUUAGCUACUAUCCCAUCCUGGGCAACAGUACGGCGCGGACCGCGCUGGUCAAGCGGACGGUUGACCUAUGCUUCUACAUACAGCACCCAAACUCCGACCGGUUGCUGAGGAUAGUGUACGAUUACGUUCGGGAGCGUUCUAACCUGCCGGAACGCUGUCCGGUCGAACCCGGCAGCUACUACAUACGGAAUGCGAAACCGUCCGACGUACCGGUGCCUGCCUUCAUACCGGAAAGUGAGUUCAUGCUGGAGCUCAUUUACCGGAACGAGGUGCGGCGUGAAAUUAUGCUGGAGUUUCGCUUCUACGGCAAGUUGGUAAGGGUGCUUGGAGCAUUCUAGAGCGAAUACGAAGUUACUAUCUUGUUACUUACGAUCGUAUGCAAUGUUUUUAAUGAUUUAUCAAUGGAACAAAAAAAUGGUUCAGCAAACUAUUUCCUGUGAGUGAUUUGCAUCUUCGUCCAUGGAAACUAACUUCAGCGAUGACAAAUGGUGCAAGUCAAUGUUGACUUGAGGGUUUCACAUUGAUCUGUUGAACUCAUAUCAAUAUUUCACG
This is an RNA transcript of Anopheles gambiae (African malaria mosquito), 2061 nucleotides long. RefSeq lists it as uncharacterized. NCBI's taxonomy places the organism in Eukaryota, Metazoa, Arthropoda, Insecta, Diptera, Culicidae. The transcript has 5 exons. The record is from RefSeq and is a predicted model, not a curated record.